GAUGAACGCUGGCGGCGUGCUUAACACAUGCAAGUCGAACGGGAAUGUUUCGCUGAUGCGAUUUCGGUCAAAUCUUGAAGCAUUUUAGUGGCGGACGGGUGAGUAACGCGUGGGUAACCUGCCCUGUACAGGGGGACAACAGUUGGAAACGACUGCUAAUACCGCAUAAGCGCACAGCUUCGCAUGAAGCAGUGUGAAAAACUCCGGUGGUACAGGAUGGACCCGCGUCUGAUUAGAUAGUUGGUGAGGUAACGGCCCACCAAGUCAACGAUCAGUAGACGGCCUGAGAUGGCGAACGGCCACAUUGGGACUGCGACACGGCCCAAACUCCUACGGGAGGCAGCAGUGGGGAACAUUGCACAAUGGGGGAAACCCUGAUGCAGCGACGCCGCGUGAGUGAAGAAGUAUUUCGGUAUGUAAAGCUCUAUCAGCAGGGAAGAAAACAAUGACGGUACCUGACUAAGAAGCCCCGGCUAACUACGUGCCAGCAGCCGCAGUAA
RNAcentral lists this ribosomal RNA (500 nucleotides) under uncultured bacterium. RNAcentral describes it as "partial 16S ribosomal RNA". It matches the Rfam family "Bacterial small subunit ribosomal RNA", at positions 28 to 523 of the family's 1533-position model. The record is from RNAcentral.